This 498-nucleotide ribosomal RNA is filed under the name uncultured bacterium. Its description in RNAcentral is "partial 16S ribosomal RNA". It matches the Rfam family "Bacterial small subunit ribosomal RNA", at positions 29 to 523 of the family's 1533-position model. The record is from RNAcentral.
AUUGAACGCUGGCGGCAUGCCUUACACAUGCAAGUCGAACGGUAACGCGGGGCAACCUGGCGACGAGUGGCGAACGGGUGAGUAAAGCAUCGGAACGUGCCCAGUAGUGGGGGAUAGCCCGGCGAGAGCCGGAUUAAUACCGCAUACGACCUAUGGGUGAACGGGGGGGAUCGCAAGACCUCUCGCUAUUGGAGCGGCCGAUGUCAGAUUAGGUAGUUGGUGGGGUAAAGGCCUACCAAGCCGACGAUCUAUAGCUGGUCUGAGGGGACGACCAGCCCCACUGGGACUGGGACACGGGCCAGACUCGUGCGGGAGGGAGCAGUGGGGAAUUUUGGACAAUGGGCGCAAGCCUGAGCCAGCCAUGCCGCGUGCGGGAAGAGGGCCUUCGGGUUGUAAACCGCUUUUGUCAGGGAAGAAAUCCUUUGGGUUAAUACCUCGGGGGGAUGACGGUACCUGAAGAAUAAGCACCGGCUAACUACGUGCCAGCCGCCGCCGUAA